GAUGAACGCUGGCGGCGUGCCUAAUACAUGCAAGUCGAGCGAACAGACGAGGAGCUUGCUCCUCUGACGUUAGCGGCGGACGGGUGAGUAACACGUGGAUAACCUACCUAUAAGACUGGGAUAACUUCGGGAAACCGGAGCUAAUACCGGAUAAUAUAUUGAACCGCAUGGUUCAAUAGUGAAAGGCGGUUUUGCUGUCACUUAUAGAUGGAUCCGCGCCGCAUUAGCUAGUUGGUAAGGUAACGGCUUACCAAGGCAACGAUGCGUAGCCGACCUGAGAGGGUGAUCGGCCACACUGGAACUGAGACACGGUCCAGACUCCUACGGGAGGCAGCAGUGGGGAAUCUUCCGCAAUGGGCGAAAGCCUGACGGAGCAACGCCGCGUGAGUGAUGAAGGUCUUCGGAUCGUAAAACUCUGUUAUUAGGGAAGAACAAAUGUGUAAGUAACUAUGCACGUCUUAACGGUACCUAAUCAGAAAGCCACGGCUAACUACGUG
RNAcentral lists this ribosomal RNA (497 nucleotides) under uncultured bacterium. Its description in RNAcentral is "partial 16S ribosomal RNA". It matches the Rfam family "Bacterial small subunit ribosomal RNA", at positions 28 to 507 of the family's 1533-position model. The record is from RNAcentral.